RNAcentral lists this ribosomal RNA (467 nucleotides) under uncultured bacterium. RNAcentral's name for it is "partial 16S ribosomal RNA". It matches the Rfam family "Bacterial small subunit ribosomal RNA", at positions 29 to 507 of the family's 1533-position model. The record is from RNAcentral.
ACGAACGCUGGCGGUGUGCUUAACACAUGCACGUCGAACGGUAAGGCCCUUUCGGGGGUACACGAGUGGCGAACGGGUGAGUAACACGUGAGUAACCUGCCCUCAUCUCUGGGAUAACAGUCGGAAACGGUUGCUAAUACUGGAUAUGAGCUUGCAAGGCAUCUUGUGGGUUGGAAAGAUUUUUUUUGGUUGGGGAUGGACUCGCGGCCUAUCAGCUUGUUGGUGAGGUAGUGGCUCACCAAGGCUUCGACGGGUAGCCGGCCUGAGAGGGCGACCGGCCACAUUGGGACUGAGAUACGGCCCAAACUCCUACGGGAGGCAGCAGUGGGGAAUAUUGCACAAUGGACGGAAGUCUGAUGCAGCAACGCCGCGUGCGGGAUGACGGCCUUCGGGUUGUAAACCGCUUUCAAUUGUGACGAAGCUUUUUUGUGACGGUAGCAGUAGAAGAAGCACCGGCUAACUACGUG